UGUAGCUUAGUGGCAGAGUGACUGGACUAGUAACCAGAUGGUCAUUGGUUCGA
This 53-nucleotide transfer RNA is filed under the name uncultured Symbiodinium. RNAcentral describes it as "partial tRNA". Lineage: Eukaryota; Dinophyceae; Suessiales; Symbiodiniaceae. The record is from RNAcentral.